UGGGGAAUAUUGGACAAUGGGCGCAAGCCUGAUCCAGCCAUGCCGCGUGAGUGAUGAAGGCCUUAGGGUUGUAAAGCUCUUUCACCGGAGAAGAUAAUGACGGUAUCCGGAGAAGAAGCCCCGGCUAACUUCGUGCCAGCAGCCGCGGUAAUACGAAGGGGGCUAGCGUUGUUCGGAAUUACUGGGCGUAAAGCGCACGUAGGCGGAUAUUUAAGUCAGGGGUGAAAUCCCAGAGCUCAACUCUGGAACUGCCUUUGAUACUGGGUAUCUUGAGUAUGGAAGAGGUAAGUGGAAUUCCGAGUGUAGAGGUGAAAUUCGUAGAUAUUCGGAGGAACACCAGUGGCGAAGGCGGCUUACUGGUCCAUUACUGAAGCUGAGGUGCGAAAGCGUGGGGAGCAAACAGG
RNAcentral lists this ribosomal RNA (404 nucleotides) under bacterium. Its description in RNAcentral is "partial 16S ribosomal RNA". It matches the Rfam family "Bacterial small subunit ribosomal RNA", at positions 355 to 776 of the family's 1533-position model. The record is from RNAcentral.